Molecule: ribosomal RNA, 579 nt
Filed under: Triticum aestivum (bread wheat)
Lineage: Eukaryota; Viridiplantae; Streptophyta; Magnoliopsida; Poales; Poaceae
Description: partial small subunit ribosomal RNA
Source: RNAcentral
AUGUGCUUCAUCAAGAGAUUUUUGGAUGAUCUUGAGAUUGUUGUUGCCAGGAAUUCAAAACAACCAGUUGGACGGGUUGGACAGCCCCGGGCAAGAGUGUGGGUACCACCUACCGGGGAGGCGCCAAAACUAAAUUGCGACGGAGCUCUUUCCACUUUAGGAGAUAGAGGAGCUGCUGCAGUGGUAUGUAGGGACAAGGUCGGAGUCUAUCUUGGAGCUUCAGCAGUUGUUUAUGAGGGCCUGAUCGACCCAGCAAGCCUGAAGGCACUAGCUUGCAGCGAGAGCCUAGCCCUUGCUCGGGACUUAAAUCUGCAGAACUUGGAGGUAGCCUCAGAUUGCCAGGAGGUAAUUUCGCAUAUCAGGAAUGGAGGUGCACCGGUCUACGCGCAUGUCCUUAAGGAAAUUCAGUUUAGUAGAAACUUUUUUCAUUAUGUUUCUUUCCGUUUCGAAUUUAGAGAGAACAAUUUUAAGGCCCACUCGCUAGCUAAAGGAGCUGCGUCUCUUGCGGUGGGUCGCCAUGUGUGGCUAGGGGCCCUGCCCGACAUUGCUUGUAUCCCUCAUUUUCUGAACCAUGAAUAA